UACGAAGGGGGCUAGCGUUGCUCGGAAUCACUGGGCGUAAAGCGCACGUAGGCGGAUCUUUAAGUCGGGGGUGAAAUCCCGGAGCUCAACUCCGGAACUGCCUUCGAUACUGGGGAUCUCGAGUUCGGGAGAGGUGAGUGGAACUGCGAGUGUAGAGGUGAAAUUCGUAGAUAUUCGCAAGAACACCAGUGGCGAAGGCGGCUCACUGGCCCGAUACUGACGCUGAGGUGCGAAAGCGUGGGGAGCAAACAGG
Molecule: ribosomal RNA, 253 nt
Filed under: uncultured bacterium
Lineage: Bacteria
Description: partial 16S ribosomal RNA
Rfam family: Bacterial small subunit ribosomal RNA
Source: RNAcentral